Molecule: long non-coding RNA, 1219 nt
Organism: Callithrix jacchus (white-tufted-ear marmoset)
Lineage: Eukaryota; Metazoa; Chordata; Mammalia; Primates; Cebidae
Source: RefSeq, a predicted model, not a curated record
UAACCCCAGUAGUGAAAAGAAAAGCUCACAGCUCAGUAUUUUCUCUAGCAAAUGAGAGAAAAUAAUUAUUUCAUUCCUAUUUCAUUAGCCAUUUGUGAUUUUAAUUCAACAGCACUUUGGAAAAAAUAGUCUUCUGAAGGCUGGUCCUGGAUACACUUUGAGGUUUAACACUGAAAGAAGUCUUGGUGAUGGCAGAUACAGAUUCAGAGGUAGUUCUCCGAUGCUGUAUGAAACAUCUGACGGUUUCAUGAUCCUUUUGUUGGUUUAAGGCAAGAAGAACAUGAAGAUGUUGGUUGCAAUGAACUGAAUGUUUGUAUACCCCCAGAAUUCACCCUAAUCCCAGGUGAUGGUAUCUGGAGGUGAAGCCUUGGGGAGGGAAUUAAGUCGUGAAGAUGGAGUCCUCAUAAACGAGAUUAGUUCCCUUACGAAACAGAACCUAGGGAGCUCUCUUCACUCUUUCCACCAUGUGAGAACACAACGAGAAGUCAUCAGUCUGAGGUCGAGAAGAGAGCACUCACCAGAACCUGACCAUGCUGGACCAUGAUACUGAACUUUCACCUCCAGAACUGUGAGAAGUAAAUUUCUGCUGUUUGUAAACCACUCAGUCUAUAAUACUUUACUAUAGCAGCCUGAACUCAAGACAGUCAUCCGUAAAAAUAGUAUUAAGUGAGUGCUAGGGGUAUGGUCAAAGUAUAAAACAAAAUCAAGAAUAAGAUUUUAGAAACAAUACACUGUGGAUAUCAAUUUUAUGUUUAGUCUUUAUUAAUAUUGAAAUAGUAACUUAUGCAGUAGAAAAACUUUGUUAUAAAUAGAUCAGAGGACUGAAUUGAGAAUCCCUGCCACAAUGUCAUGUACAAAAGCACUUUUGUUUGUUCUAUAUAAAAGAAGUGUAAGGCAAGCCAUACUAGAGCAAAAAGUCAACUCCCAUAUGUGAAGUGUGAUCCUUAAUAAAUAUCAUGUCAUGAACUGUCAUAUUUUAAGUCUACUUCUAAAUAUAACUUCCUGUUACUCUCUGAGUUCAGUGACUCUUGAUCUUGUCAAAAAUGGAGCUGCCUAACAUUUUCUGAUUUUUUGUGACCCUUUCUCUCUCUUUUCAUCUAUAUCGAAAAUUUUAUGUAUAUUUCACUCUAUUUCAUCUAUAUUUGAGUGGACUAUACAUAAAAUUUUAGCAAAAUAAAAUUUUUGGUGAGUUUAAUUUCUAGUUGGCAUGUAUUUUUAA